Molecule: ribosomal RNA, 764 nt
Filed under: uncultured Fibrobacter sp.
Lineage: Bacteria; Pseudomonadati; Fibrobacterota; Fibrobacteria; Fibrobacterales; Fibrobacteraceae
Description: bacterial SSU rRNA
Rfam family: Bacterial small subunit ribosomal RNA
Source: RNAcentral
AUAAUACCGAAUAACGUGGCCCCGGACAUCCGGGGUUGACGAAAGAUUCAUCGAUGCGGGAUGAGCUUGCGUCCGAUUAGCUAGUUGGCGGGGCAACGGCCCACCAAGGCGACGAUCGGUAGCCGGCCUGAGAGGGUGAUCGGCCACAUUGGGACUGAGAUACGGCCCAGACUCCUACGGGAGGCAGCAGUAGGGAAUAUUGCACAAUGGGGGAAACCCUGAUGCAGCAACGCCACGUGUGGGAAGAAGCAUUUCGGUGUGUAAACCACUGUCGUGAGGGAAUAAGGCUAUUUUUCGGAGUAGUUGAAUGUACCUCGAGAGGAAGCACCGGCAAACUUCGCGCCAGCAGCCGCGGUAAUACGAGGGGUGCAAGCGUUGUUCGGAAUCACUGGGCGUAAAGGGAGCGCAGGCGGAAGCUCAAGCGGAUCGUACAAUACCGGGGCCCAACCCCGGGCCUGCAGUCCGAACUGGGUUUCUUGGAUAGUUCAGGGGCAAGCGGAAUUCCUGGUGUAGCGGUGGAAUGCGUAGAGAUCAGGAAGAACACCGAUGGCGAAGGCAGCUUGCUGGGGACUAAUCGACGCUCAUGCUCGAAAGUGCGGGUAGCAAACAGGAUUAGAUACCCUGGUAGUCCGCACCGUAAACGAUGCAUACUGGGUGUCCGGGGUUCGCCCCGGGUACCGCAGCAAACGCGUUAAGUAUGCCGCCUGGGGAGUACGUACGCAAGUAUGAAACUCAAAGGAAUUGACGGGGGCCCGCACAAGCGG